GUACUUGCUCUGGCAGUACAUCAACUAAAAUUGGAGCGAUACAGAGAAGAUUAGCAUGGCCCCUGCGCAAGGAUGACACGCAAAAUCGUGAAGCGCUCCUCUUUUCU
Erpetoichthys calabaricus (reedfish) is the source of this 107-nucleotide small nuclear RNA. The record is from Ensembl. Lineage: Eukaryota; Metazoa; Chordata; Cladistia; Polypteriformes; Polypteridae.